UGCAGUCGAGCGAUGGAUUGAGAGCUUGCUCUCAAGAAGUUAGCGGCGGACGGGUGAGUAACACGUGGGUAACCUGCCCAUAAGACUGGGAUAACUCCGGGAAACCGGGGCUAAUACCGGAUAAUAUUUUGAACUGCAUGGUUCGAAAUUGAAAGGCGGCUUCGGCUGUCACUUAUGGAUGGACCCGCGUCGCAUUAGCUAGUUGGUGAGGUAACGGCUCACCAAGGCAACGAUGCGUAGCCGACCUGAGAGGGUGAUCGGCCACACUGGGACUGAGACACGGCCCAGACUCCUACGGGAGGCAGCAGUAGGGAAUCUUCCGCAAUGGACGAAAGUCUGACGGAGCAACGCCGCGUGAGUGAUGAAGGCUUUCGGGUCGUAAAACUCUGUUGUUAGGGAAGAACAAGUGCUAGUUGAAUAAGCUGGCACCUUGACGGUACCUAACCAGAAAGCCACGGCUAACUACGUGCCAGCAGCCGCGGUAAUACGUAGGUGGCAAGCGUUAUCCGGAAUUAUUGGGCGUAAAGCGCGCGCAGGUGGUUUCUUAAGUCUGAUGUGAAAGCCCACGGCUCAACCGUGGAGGGUCAUUGGAAACUGGGAGACUUGAGUGCAGAAGAGGAAAGUGGAAUUCCAUGUGUAGCGGUGAAAUGCGUAGAGAUAUGGAGGAACACCAGUGGCGAAGGCGACUUUCUGGUCUGUAACUGACACUGAGGCGCG
This 717-nucleotide ribosomal RNA is filed under the name Bacillus sp. (in: firmicutes). Its description in RNAcentral is "bacterial SSU rRNA". It matches the Rfam family "Bacterial small subunit ribosomal RNA", at positions 56 to 755 of the family's 1533-position model. The record is from RNAcentral. Lineage: Bacteria; Bacillati; Bacillota; Bacilli; Caryophanales; Bacillaceae.